Molecule: long non-coding RNA, 625 nt
Organism: Corticium candelabrum
Lineage: Eukaryota; Metazoa; Porifera; Homoscleromorpha; Homosclerophorida; Plakinidae
Exons: 5
Source: RefSeq, a predicted model, not a curated record
UUGGGGUUGACAGAGAGAAACUAAUAUUGUCGUUGACUUAAUUUACAUUUUAACUUAUCACUUUUGUAUCAAUUGAAUUGUGUGAUGUAGGGACCAGUAGGAAAACAAGGAGCAGCAGGAAUUUCAGGCGGCACAGGCUUGAAGAUAAAUGAUUGGCAUUUAUGUGACUGGCUUGUCAAUUAUUCAUUGUUUGUAAUUUCUUUUUAAGGUGAGGUAGGAGCUGAAGGUGCAGUUGGUCCACCAGGUAAACAGGGAGUGCAAGGUGUGAUGGGUCGUGCAGGUCCACCCGGACCUCAAGGUCCUCCAGGCAAAAGUGGAAUGAUGGUAUGAGACAACACAUUGAAUCGACACACAUUUUGCAUUUGUAAUUUGUAAUUGUAUUUGAUGUGAAUGGAGGGUCCACCGGGACCCAGAGGUCCUCCAGGACAAACGGGAGGACGUGGAGAGAAGGGGGAACGAUGAGUGGAGGGUCCAAGAGGUUUGGCUGGAUUAGAUGGCAUUCCGGGUGCUGCAGGUCCCAUCGGACCCGUAGGAUCACGUGGACCAUUAGGAGUGAAGGGUGAUCGUGGAUUACCCGGAGCAAAGGGAGAAGCCGGACCACAAGGUCGUCCUGGUCCAGAGGUGA